GAUUCAUGACUGGGGUGAAGUCGUAACAAGGUAACCCUAGGGGAACCUGGGGUUGGAUCACCUCCUUA
This 68-nucleotide ribosomal RNA is filed under the name Paraglaciecola chathamensis. Its description in RNAcentral is "partial 16S ribosomal RNA". It matches the Rfam family "Bacterial small subunit ribosomal RNA", at positions 1466 to 1533 of the family's 1533-position model. The record is from RNAcentral. Lineage: Bacteria; Pseudomonadati; Pseudomonadota; Gammaproteobacteria; Alteromonadales; Alteromonadaceae. RNAcentral also lists the same sequence under 3 other names.